Molecule: long non-coding RNA, 1555 nt
Organism: Onychostruthus taczanowskii (white-rumped snowfinch)
Lineage: Eukaryota; Metazoa; Chordata; Aves; Passeriformes; Passeridae
Exons: 3
Source: RefSeq, a predicted model, not a curated record
GUAAUUAGUCCUUAGGUCUCAAUUAAGCCCUUCGCCGUGGGUCCCACCCUGUUUCUGCUGUCGCUCCUCCCCUUCCGAUGCAGUCUGGCUGUUUUCCUGGCAGGGAUGCUGCCACAGCUCGGGAUCUCUGCAAGCUGGGGCUCUGGGGAGUGCUGGAAUCUGGGUCUUGGGUACAACCACCCAGACACCAGAUGGGCUGGGAGCAGCUGACGUGGCACAGAGCGUUUGUCUUCCUUCUUGCUUUUCCCAAGGAUGCAGUGCUGGAGCAGCCCCUCUCACACAGCCUUGUGCCUGGAAAGGAAAAGGAAGGAGAAGAGGAAGCAAAACUGCGACAGGAGGGAAUCAGACCAUGGACAUGUUGGAAGCUGGAAUAUACAUCUUGCAUUACAAAGUGCAAAAUACUACAUGCUCAGAGCCCAAGCAUGAUGUCUGAAACAGUCCACAGCAAGAUGUAAGAGACAAACCCACCACCCUCUCCCUCCUCUCUGGGACAUGCUCCAGGUGCUCCUCCCCAGGUGCCUUUGAGAAACAGUUGGAUUUUUGCUUGGUUUUGUUUUAUUGUCAUCCUCAGUGGAUUGGAAUUGAGCCCUCUGUCCCCUGGACCUCCCCACCCUGCUCCCUGUGCACAUUUUUUGGGAUGGGCUGGAUGCUCCUCACCAGCACGGCACCACCAGCCACUCCGUCUGUGCUGCUGGAGGUGCCUCCAAGGUUUUUUUUGGAGGAAUUUUUAGCCAGGAGAAAUUGGCUGUGAAUUAAAAGUAGCUCUGGGUGGUUUUCCUGCCUUGCCAUGGGUGAGGAGCAGCCUGGGGAGGAGGAGUGAAGGCAGGAGGGUGCUGGGGCUGCUGCUCACACCUCGUGUUCCCUAUUCCCCCCUUGCCCCGAAGAAUUCUGCAAAAAGCCAAUUUUUGUUUUAAAAACAAGGAUCAGAACAGGGCCUGUUCUGCCAUUUUCCCAUCCAGACAGGGUUCAUUCCUUCCCUGUGCUCCUUCUCUCCUCCUUCUCACAGCAGCAUUCCUCCAUUUCCAAAAGGUGAAAAGCCUGAUUUUGCUUUUCUCUCCCAUUUAUCAUUAAAGCUGUUGUGCAUUUUCCUGGGAAACUCAGCCUGGAGCAUCCCAGAACCCGUGCCCACUCCACCCAAACUCUCCCCAUAGUCCCCUCGUCUCAUCUCCAUUUUGGGGUUCAUUGCUGUUGUUACAAAGACAAUUAUUUCCUUUUGGGGGGGGGGGUGAAGGGAAGGGAAACGAGGUUUUUUCUUUUGUUGGGAUUCCUUCUCAUCCUUCCCAGUGUUGGGGGGGGCAGAGUGUUGAUAGCAUUUUGCCAUGCCACACAGCAUAGUGUUAUACAAGCAAAGAAUUUUGGCUAAAAUCCAAAAAACAUUACCCAGGAAAAAAGGCAAACUGUGAGUGAGACUCGAUCAUUUGUUGUUCUUCUGUGAAAAGACUUGGAAAUUGUCAGAGGACAGUUCGAGUUACGAUUUUUCCCUUUGUUUGUUUUUUUGUUUUGUUUUGUUUUGUUGUUGUUGUUGUUUGGUUCUGGUUUUUUUUUUUGUUUGUUU